Non-coding RNA from Erythranthe guttata (spotted monkey flower), 704 nucleotides. Lineage: Eukaryota; Viridiplantae; Streptophyta; Magnoliopsida; Lamiales; Phrymaceae. The record is from RefSeq and is a predicted model, not a curated record.
GUGGUGCUAUACUUCAACAGAUGUGGACAAAAAGACCGACUUCUUAGCUUGUUAUGGUGGGUUUACAUAUGUGUUCAAAAAGCGGUGGCAACAGUUCCCUUUUGCCUGUAAUAAACCAUCAUCUGUGAUCAAUUUCAUAUUUUCCGUACCUUAGAUUAUACAAGUUUUUCCGCAGCUUUUCGUAACAUUUCAGAUGUUGUGCUAAGCACGACUAUGUUCUUUCUUACUCCUCCUUCUAUAGGUUGAAAGAUGUCUAUGCUUGUUGUCUCUAUAUUGAUCUUGUUUGUAUUGGUAAAUUAUAUUUUGUUUAUAUCUUACACUUUGCCUUUGAAUAUAAAAUAAUAGGCAUGGAUUACAUGGGCGAAAAAUGUUGGCAUGCACAUAAAUAUGAGACAGUACAUUGGAAAAUCGAUGUGCAUUAUGCGACAGUACGAUUACAAAGAGUAAGGAUUCCUGCUCCAGUAAUAACUUUGGGAAUUCAUAUAUUCCCAUGGAAUUAGCAGGUUAAGGCCAUUUUCUUAAAGAUGCUUUCACACAUGAUUCAUACACUUAAUUUUUUGUCCUGGUUUUGUUCGCAUUAGAACUGUUUAUUUGAGACGAACUGUUAUUUUCCGAUAUCAUUUUGUUCCAUAUUUGUAUUAUCAUAAUUCUACCACUAAUUUAUAUCUAAAUAAUGGGCAACGACACCGCGCAUUGCGCGGUGC